Molecule: ribosomal RNA, 506 nt
Filed under: uncultured bacterium
Lineage: Bacteria
Description: partial 16S ribosomal RNA
Rfam family: Bacterial small subunit ribosomal RNA
Source: RNAcentral
AUUGAACGCUGGCGGCAGGCCUAACACAUGCAAGUCGAACGGUAACAGGAAUCAGCUUGCUGAUUCGCUGACGAGUGGCGGACGGGUGAGUAAUGUCUGGGAAACUGCCUGAUGGAGGGGGAUAACUACUGGAAACGGUAGCUAAUACCGCAUAACGUCGCAAGACCAAAGAGGGGGACCUUCGGGCCUCUUGCCAUCGGAUGUGCCCAGAUGGGAUUAGCGAGUAGGUGGGGUAAUGGAUAACCUAGGCGACGAUCCCUAGCUGGUCUGAGGGGAGGACCGGCCACACUGGAACUGAGACACGGUCCAGAAUCCUGCGGGCGGCAGCAGUGGGGAAUAUUGCACAAUGGGCGCAAGCCUGAUGCAGCCAUGCCGCGUGUAUGAAGAAGGCCUUCGGGUUGUAAAGUACUUUCAGCGAGGAGGAAGGUGUUGAGGUUAAUAACCUUAGCAAUUGACGUUACUCGCAGAAGAAGCACCGGCUAACUCCGUGCCAGCCGCCGCUGUAA